UAGCAUAUCAAUAAGCGGAGGAAAAGAAACUAACGAGGAUUCCCCUAGUAACUGCGAGUGAAGCGGGAAAAGCUCAAAUUUGAAAUCUGGCGGUCUUUGGCUGUCCGAGUUGUAAUCUAGAGAAGUGUUACCCGCGUUGGACCGUGUAUAAGUCUCCUGGAAUGGAGCGUCAUAGAGGGUGAGAAUCCCGUCUUUGACACGGACUACCAAGGCUUUGUGGUAUGCUCUCAAAGAGUCGAGUUGUUUGGGAAUGCAGCUCAAAAUGGGUGGUAAAUGCCAUCUAAAGCUAAAUAUUGGCGAGAGACCGAUAGCGAACAAGUACCGUGAGGGAAAGAUGAAAAGAACUUUGGAAAGAGAGUUAAACAGUACGUGAAAUUGCUGAAAGGGAAACGCUUAAAGUCAGUCGCGUUGGCUUGAAAUCAACCUUGCUUUUGCUGGGUGUACUUUCUAGUUGACGGGUCAACAUCAGUUUUGACCAGUGGAUAAAGUCAAUGGGAAUGUGGCUCCUUCGGGAGUGUUAUAGCCCAUAGUCGCAUACAUUGGUUGGGACUGAGGCUCUCAGCACGCCUUUAUGGCCUGGUUUCGACCAAGUUCGUGCUUAGGAUGUUGGCAUAAUGGCUUUAAUCGACCCGUCUUGAAACACGGACCAAGGAGUCUAACAUGCUUGCGAGUAUUUGGGUGGAAAACCCUUGUGCGUAAUGAAAGUGAAAGUUGAGAUCCCUGUCGUGGGGAGCAUCGACGCCUGGACCAGAGCUUUUGUGACGGAUCCACGGUAGAGCACGUAUGUUGGGACCCGAAAGAUGGUGAACUAUGCCUGAAUAGGGUGAAGCCAGAGGAAACUCUGGUGGAGGCUCGUAGCGAUUCUGACGUGCAAAUCGAUCGUCAAAUUUGGGUAUAGGGGCAG
This 904-nucleotide ribosomal RNA is filed under the name Crepidotus malachius. RNAcentral describes it as "partial large subunit ribosomal RNA". It matches the Rfam family "Eukaryotic large subunit ribosomal RNA", at positions 36 to 926 of the family's 3401-position model. Lineage: Eukaryota; Fungi; Basidiomycota; Agaricomycetes; Agaricales; Crepidotaceae. The record is from RNAcentral.